Monomorium pharaonis (pharaoh ant) is the source of this 18141-nucleotide long non-coding RNA. RefSeq lists it as uncharacterized. NCBI's taxonomy places the organism in Eukaryota, Metazoa, Arthropoda, Insecta, Hymenoptera, Formicidae. The record is from RefSeq and is a predicted model, not a curated record. The transcript has 2 exons.
CAGUUUUACGAGCCUCUCUCUCUCUCUCUCUCUCUCUCUCCCUCUCUUUCUCUCUCUUUAUGGAAUUUUCGCGCGCUCUCUUAUCGUACGGCUUCAAGGUUCUGGAUGUCGCAAAACAAGAUUCUUAUUAACGCCGCGGAGUCAAUUAUCGUAACAAUAGCUCAUAAUUAGGGUCACACAAAGCACGGGAAAGAUUAUGUAUAAUCGUUCACAUAACGAUAAGCAAUCUCCCUUCCCUCCCCCCUCCCCUCUCUCUCUCUCUGUAUCUGUCUCGGCUACAGAUCGGCAAACGAAGCGACCGUAAUUAUAACACACUUAAGUACUUAACUGCGGAGUAACGGGGAGAAAGAAGCGAGCGAGGAGAAGCUCAAAGAGCGUAAAGUAAGUAAAUAAGUACAGUCGCCGAAGUUUGUGUCGCUUCAACCGGGGGCUGGGGAUUACUGGGUUCCGGUUACCCCGAACUCGGUUAUCGUGAGCUGAAAAGAUGCGAGAAACCAACUCGCCGCGCGCGCCGUGUCGCGCGACUUCGAGAGGAGAGAAAAAGCGAGAAUGGUGGCCGACAGUGUCGUUGCAGAUGACGUCGAACCACGAUGCACUCCGGUCGGAUGGUUAUUUCAUGCUAGUAGCGAUAACAUUUUCCUAGCAUUUAGUUAAUGGACGAACACUCUUUUUCUCUCUCUCUCUCUCUCUCUCUCUCUCUUUCUCCCUCUGUCCUUCUCCCUCGCUCGCACGUGACGCUGCGCACGUGCACGAGUCGCGCUUGGCUGUAGCGACAUUAAAACACCGGCGCGGAAAAGCGCGACGGUCCUUAUUAUUGCGCGAGCAAAAGCGAGUUUUCGCCUAUCGCGACUCAUGCGUGUGUAUACAUGUGUUACGGGCGAUAUCGAGAGACGUGCGAGCUAUUCGAGUACGAAUCGAAUCGAUUCGGGAAAAGGAUGAGUCGAAUCUAAAUUCAAAUUCCAGCCAUUAACUUUCCAAGAAAUCCGAAUAGAAACACACGUAUCGCCAUCUUAUAAAUAUCAUAUAUUUAAAAUCCUUUUUUAAAUAAUAUAAUAUAUAUUAUUUUCCUCGCGAUAUAGAAAUCCUUUUGUUAUUACAUUAAUACUCAAUUUAAUAAUAAUUAUGUUAUUAUUGCAAAUCAUACAUCAAUGAUUCGAUUCAAAUUCAAAUUAAAUCGAUUCGAUUCCAAGAAAAUGUAUUAUGUGAAUAUGUAUUAUGAAACCCCACGUAUUAUGGAAGUUUUCGGAGUGGAUUUCGAUCGAAAUUAUUCAAUUAUUUCUUAUUAGAUUUAUAUAUUGCGUUUUCUAAUGGAAUAAUUCCGGUUGGAAUCCUGAACGGUUUCACAAUACGUGCCCUGUUCGGACUGAAUUCCAAUAGGAAUUAUCCCAUUCUUUCCUAGAAAGCAUAACAGAAAUCUAAGAAAUAAUUGAAUAAUUCCGAUCGGAAUUCAUUCCAUCUCCUAAUUCGUCCUGACGUUUCUCGUUCGUGCGAAACACCUUUUGCAGCCGAUUGAAACGUUCAUCGCUUUAUUAACGAUAACAAUUAAAUAGCUCGCGCACUUUCAAGCACCAAAGUCGCACGUUAGUGAAUAAUUUGUAAACAAAGUCGAUGAUAAAUAAAUUUUUUUAAUCGACCGGAUACCGAAAGAAAAUGACUCUCAAUGAGUUCGAAAUCUUUAUUGGUUACGUUAGGUGUAAUAAAUAUACACGACACGAAACGAUGCAUCAUGAGUCAGCUCGUGCAGCACACAGGUGACAUUUUCUAACUAGGAAAGACACCAGCACGUCGCAUCGAUUCGCGACGCGGAGCACGUCUAUCGCUAACCCGCGCCAUUCCGCGAUAAUAAAGCAUUAUUUAUCGCGAGAGACCGCGGAGACGGUUCUCGGAGCCGCCGCGAUGUGUCACAAUAAAUUUCGAGGAAACUUUCGUCGCGCGCGUUUUUUUUUUUUUUUUUUUUUUUUUUUACGCCAAACAUUCGUUCCACCUCGAGGUUCGCGAUCGCAGUUUGCGAGCUUUGCAUAGCAGUUUUGCACGCUAACGACCCGGGACGACUACGUCUGCGACGUCGUUUCCUAUAUAAAGAGCCGAUAGCACAAAAUUGCAAGCUAGGGGCUCUAUCAUCGCAAACUAGAGCUAUUUCGCAAGAUUUCGCAGCGCAAAACGCGCUACACUGUAAUCUAACAGUUGCGUCAAGUCGCAGGCAUAAGUCGCACAAAUCACGAGCGCGCGCGCGACGUAAAAUCACGGCCAAUUAAUAGCACGGGGACCCCGAGGUAUUUCAUCGUUGGCAGAAAAUUACUGAGAAGCCGCAAGAACUAUUGGAUGGAUAUAUUCCGAUAACCGGUUGCGAUAUCGCGCUGAAAUAAAUCGCGCGACGCGCUCGAAUGUCCAUAGUCCGCUUCCGGACUCGGCUCGUGCCCGUGGAAGCCUCGCUAUAAUGUCGAGGUCAAUUAUACUCUUUCUUUCUUUCUUCACGACCUCCAGACACAUAGAUAGACAGGAGGCGGACGUAAUAGAGGUUAACUUUACUUCUCAAUUAACGCUUAAUACACAUCUUAGGAUAUUUGCGUCCCUAGCAUUUUUCCUCUUUGAAAUACUAGGAACACCUGGAUAAACGGACAAUGGUUUCUCUAUACUCUCCCUUGACAAAAAAUUUGGUAUUUAAGAGACUGGCCUAGUGCGUUGGCGGGUUUAAUUUGUGCGUAUAUAUAUAUUCUACAUCCAAUACAUAUUCUACGUCCAGGCCUCAAAAAAUCACCCUAGAAUUCAACUGACCUAAGAUGUCUCGCGUAUAAAUUGAAUAUUUUGUAUACAACUAUGAAACCUAUAUUUGCUUUAUUUUCAAUCAGAAAUCUUGUUCAUAUAGCAAGGAUUUCACAAACUAUUAAAAUAAAUAAAAUUUUUUAACAAUAAUUUUAAAUUUAAAUGCUAAAAAGACAUUGCUAUUAUAUUUACACUUGAUUUUUUAGAGAAUAUUGAAAAAUGUUUUCUGUUGUUAGUUUUAAGCUUUUGCAACUUUAUAAAUAAAAAAAUUGUUUUAAAUGUAAAUGCAAUAUAACUUUAAUUUAUACACACUUACCUAUAUUAAAAAAGUUCAUAUUCAGAUUAAUAAAUAAGUUCAUUUUCUUAGACAUUAGAAUUUUCAUUUUCGUAGUUUAAAAUGUCUAUUUUAAAAUAUAAAAGUAUUUUUUCUUAAGUAAUUUUUUAAUCAUGAAUUUUUAUAUAAAAAUGUAUAUUUCUCUGAUCAACAAUAACUAAUUAUAAAACGUUUAUACAAUUUUUUUAAUUCAAAUGCCCUGCUUUAGAGAUGUUAAAGUAUAUGUACACUGAGAAAAAAAAAUUGUUAAUUUGACUAUCUUUCAACUAAAUUAAAUUUAUUUAAGUAAUAUAUAUACACGUUUCGUGUCGUUCACAAAACGAAGGUGUUCACCAAGUGUUAGUUAACUGCUCGCGAACUCACGCGACUCGGACGGAGAUCUCGGAGAUAGAAACCGUUCAUUCUCAAUGACACAGGUUGAAAUCGAUACGCGUUAACAUCGAUGGCUCGCGCGAUUCGGAAUGGUAGGAGAUGAAUAAAUAAAGACACAUAUUAUGAUGUCCGUGAACAUAACCCCUCUCUAUCGUGUUUUCGUUUGUAAUCAAAUGAAACUUUGUUCCCCCUCCCCUUCUCUACCCCUCCCUCUCCCUCGCACAGCUAUUGCAGCUGAGUUUUCGCUCUCACGGUCAUACGAGAGGUAUCACGCAGAUUCGCGCGGCAUUUAUCAUUAAUAUGAUUAAUUAGUCGAGUUUAAUCGGGAAUACGGGAAAUAAAAAUAACAGAAAUAUAUAUAUUGUCAAAAUGAAUUUUUGCCCCGUGUUUUAUUUUCGUUGGCGACAAACUCCAUUAAUAAUUUUGCGACAAACUGAAUUUGCGGGCAGUUAUCGGGUGAUUAAUCGAUCGGCGCGAAGCUACGUAUGUUUUUUUUCCCCCCCGCCCGUUAAUGGUAUUAAAACCGAACUAAUUGCAGUUGACAUUCUACUUGGAGGUGAUGCAAGAAAUAAAAGCGGCCGUUCCAUUUGCACGUCUAGCACGAGUAAAGGGAACAUAAGAACGUGAAAGAUUAAUGGAAAGCUAUAAAUCACGGCGGUACAAGCUACCGAUUCCGAGUCAUUGAAACUUUUAUGGAUGGGCAGACCACAAUUAAAUCGAUAACGUUAAUGCUCAUUACAUAGAAACCCAACCCAGAAACGCGAUAUAGAGCGUUUUAUAAAUAUUUCAAUCUGCUCCGAAUGUGUAACGACGUGUCACCUUGCGCCCAUCGAUCGCCAAUGGGUUGGGUCAUAUUGUUUUCUAUUAAAUAAACAAUAUUAUUGGCGAGUAUAAUCGCCCGCCGAUUAGCAGCGUGAUUAUUACAACAUAACUUGACGCGCGGCAACAAAUUCAGACGGAAGGAAUCGAACCGGACGGUCGAAGCUUUUUAGUUUUUCAACUCGCUCGCGUACAGCGUACCGUUAACUCCGCCAUAUACGUACGUAUGUGGAUUCAAUAUAAACACAAAUGUCUAUUUUCUAUAUAAAAUGUGGCAAGAAUGCGAUACGGCCGCCGGCGGGUAAACAACGUCAAACCCGUUCGCUGUAAUCGACACGAGAAUGGCAGAAUUAACACGCGCAAAAAUCGACGCGGGUCGUUCGUUCCGGGUCCGGCCGGCGAAGCUUCCAUUUGCGUUUUCCGAAUAUUCCAUUUGACGAGCUCAUCCAUUUUUGCCUAUCCGGCCGGUGCGUCCUCUCCUCGCGACUAAUGUCACGUCGCCAACACAAGCCGACACCGCGAUUUCACGAUGGGUAUUCGGAUCACUGAACUUACAGGCAUUCAGCGCGAAUGAACGAAUAAUAAACGCGGAUAAACGUGGAUUCGCGCGGUGGACGAAGGAGAGAGAGAGAGAGAGAGAGAGAGAGAAUAGAGCGCCCAAGUUCGAUUCGUCCGAGGGAGAGAAAAACCGUCGGGGCCUAAACCGCCGUUAAAUCGCUCUCUUCGUUUGCAACACCUCUACCUGCCCCUCGAAUGAAAUCGCGUCUAUUGUGCGAGACCCGCGCGAGAAGGACGGGUAUAAGGGAGAGAAGGGCAAAGAACAACCCUUCUUCUUCUUCUUCUUCUUCGUGGCUGCGUCGUUGCAACCCCUCGUGAGACGUGCCGCGCGAGGAAUAUCGGCGCCGAGUCGCGUUUUUUUUUCGCCGCUCUCUCGCCAAUCGAUAUUUCCGGUUAGAAUAAUUGCGACGCUACUCUCGAGCUGCCAAAGCCAGGAUCAAUACUCGUAGAGUAUGUAGGUACAGGACAGGCAUUUCACACGUUACCCUUAUUCACACGUUCGGAAAUAUAAUUUGCAAGAUUUGUCACGACGGUGAAUUGCAGCAAAUAAAGGUUCAAUUGUCGACAACGUGGCCCUCGAACAAGGGAUUCGACAAGGGUAUCCCUGCACCAAAAUUAAAAAAAAAAAAAAAGGAAGAUUGCACCGCGAAGCGUCGGAAUGUAUGCGAGAACGCUGAGCCGUUUUAUCAUCGUUUCCACAGCAGGAUUCGUUCCCCAGGAUCCGCAUCCGCGGUCACGUUAUUCCUCCCGUGGCUAAGACGCAUAGCGCUGCCGAGGAUUAAUGUCAUAGAGAAAUCUCGAGCGGCACUCGGCUCCGGGGAGUGGAUGCCAGAGAGGCGAAUACGAAAAACACCCGUACAUCCUCGGUGCAUUCUAUGUUUACGGGCUGUUAACUGCGUGCGACUGUCUCGAGUUACAUCAAUAAACACGUACAUAGAUGCGCGCGCACGUGCAAGCGCGGAGCGGAGAGGAGGAAACAAGAGGACGCGCGAGAGCCGCCGGGAGGGAGGAAGGGGAGAAGAGCCGGACGCAGGGAGGGGGGGGGGGCGAAAUAGAGAGACCAUUUAUUAUUAUUCACCCGGCUCGUCUUACAUCAAUAAAUAUUUAUCGACGUCCGGGCGCAUGCGCGUCUCAUGUGAGCGAGAUGCGCAACUAGGCGCAUUAGCAUAAUCGUCGAGGCGGAUACGAGACGAACAACCGAAGCUUAAUCCCCCCCUUCUCCUCCCCUAGAAAUGAGAGGUCUAUUUAAAAAUUUAUAAAAUCCAAGUUGCAGAAACUAUCGACAAAUCCCGUGAAAAAGUCGAUCAACUUUUUUAUUAAUGCUUAUUUUAAAAAAAUUCUUGGCUAUACACUAAAGAAAAGAGAUUAUUAAUAGCUAUUAAAGUGAAACUGCCAAUUAAAUAUUUGAAUUGGUUAAUACACUGAAAAGAAUGCUUGAUUCAAAUAAAUAUACUUAUUUGAAUAAUUAUAAUUAUAAUAUUUCAUAGAAAAUAGAAAAAAAAUGUUUAUUUAAAACAAGUAACUUUCUAUAAUUUAGAAAAUAUUACUUAUUUGAAAUAAAUAUUAUUAUAUUAUAUUAGUAUUAUUCAAAUAAAUAUGUAUUUGAAUCAAGCAUCCAUUUUCUGUAGUGUAUAUAAAAUACUUUUGUCCUUCUUAAUAUUUAAUAAGUAUUGCCACGUACAACAAUAAAACCAAUCGUCUUUCAUAAUAUUUACUAAAUAUUUAAAAGAGAAAAUUAUGGUUAUAUUAAACGAAUAUUUAAUUGGCAUUAUUUCAAUAUAAUCAUAUUAAUUUUUUUUUCGAUUUUUGAUCUUUGAUCUUAUUCCUUCACAAGAGAGAGAGAGAGAGGGGGGGAGGGGGAGAGAGAGAGAGAGAGGAAGAGAGAGAAUCUUCCCUUAUUUCGCGGUAUCCGCACGAAACCUCGGCGCAAGAGACUAAUUGGAUUUCGCUCCCUCGACACGCUAAUGACCGUAUUCCAUUUCCGCGGCUCGAGGUAGUCGGCACGAUGCAUCUCCUCGCACGAUCUUCCGGCGGUCGGUCGCGCCGGCGGCAUUCGAGCGAAAAUCGCAUUACCGCCGCGGUCGAAAGAGUUCCGUUCCCGCGAGUGCUUAGCGCAAAUAUCGGGAAACGAAAGACGGAAAGAGAAAAACACUGGGGCGCGCGCCGAGUGGAUUCGAGGUAUUCCGUCUCGCUUUCGUAAUCCCGCUAUACCUCGAGAUACGAUUGAAUCUACCGCCUGCGUUAUAAAUUUGAUAUACGACGAACGAUAAGUCGUGGUGAAUAAAUAGGCUAGCUGUAACACGUAAAGAUAAUGUACGACGCGUUCGUGAUUAUAUCUCAACUGAAACUUCGGCCCCUGUGAUUCAACGAUAAAUUCACAAUUUAAUUUGUAUUCGAGAUUUAUAUUACAAGAUUUAUAUUACCACGUAUUCAUCCCAUAAAUACUUUUUCUGCACAAAUCAACAAAAAGAAAAAAACAGCUUUCACACACUUCAAUGAGUAAAAAUGCGCGUAAUUAGAUCUCGGAAAGUAGAUUUUCGGCAAGGCGUGUACUCGAGAUGAAUCGUCACCCUGUGCUUCCGCUUAUAUAUUUAGCGUUUCACGGUUUUAUUCUGCAAGUUUGUACGUGACGUUUUUUUUUCUUUUCCAGAAACGGUAAACAACAGGUGCACGGCAUAUAAUGCGCGCGGCAACGCAUUACUUUCUUCUACAGCUCCCCGAACAGUGCUCCGUUGUACGCCGGUACAUCAAUCGCACAGAUGCACUCCAAUCGCCUCGCACAUGCACAUCGUUCUUCCGGCAGCAUCGAUUUCGCGGAGUGUCGAGAAUGUUACCGACAUCGCGAUCCCCACGCAGUCGACCCGAGGUGCACGAGCGACGUUACCGUCCGCCAAUCCGCGAGAUGCGGCUGCAAACACGCGGAUGCAUACGAUUCGCAUGGUGCAAUACACAAGGAUCCUGCCGUACAUUUGAAAAUUACGUCUACAUGAAGUAUUUACGUAUCGAUUUACUGUAUGUAUUUACGCGAAUCUUUUUCACGUAGACAAUAGAGACAGUGCAAAUUGCAGUGACUUGCGCGUAUUGAAGACUUAAUUUAGCUAUUAUUUUGAAAAUAGAGAAAAAUAAACUAUACCAAUAAAAAUUUUAUACUGUCUAUCGCCAUAAAAAAUUAAAAUAUUAAUUUUCUUAUAUUUAAAAAAAAACUUAAAAAAAUCGUUACAUUUUUGUCACAUAUCUUAUAAGGGUGGAAACUCAUAUGGCACAUAAUUUACAAAUAAUAUUAUACUUAUAAAAAAACGUUAAGUGAUAUAACUUAUAAAAUGUGUUUACAAAGUUUAUUAGAGAAUAAAAACGAUAAGUAUAUAUACCGAGCAAUAAUAAUGCAAUAAUAAAGAAGUUAAUAUGUGCAUGUAGUUGUAAACUACAAUACUUUAUGUGCUCCACGCAGAUAUAAGUGUUGCGUCCCAAUCAUAGAGAUUUUAUAUACUACGGCAUAAAUCCCGCUCGCAAAAAACGCCGUAUAUAUUCCGAACGAAUAGAAUAUAUGUCAAGCUGAACAAAUAAUACAAGGGCUAAGUAUUCGUAUUUUUCUAAUUCUUUGUUAUCCCUCUAUACUUAUGUAUAUGAAAUAACCAUUGACCUUUUACAUCCCCUGGAAUAACGUAUAUUUUACGUAAGUCAUAAGUCGUGAUCGCGCUACCUACUGCAUUGUGAAACCGAUUCAACUCACGAUGUUAACUUUCGUUAAUAUAAACAGUAAAGAACAGUAAAGAACUACAAUCGCGAUACAAUAUAACAAGCAUAAAGACACAUAACAGAGUCGUUGCGGGCAAGUUACUCCUAUAAUUAAAUAACAUAAUACAAGAAAAUAAUCAAGUUAUAAAAUUGUUAAUAUAUGUAUAUAACUUUGUGCAAAUAAAAAUAAAAAUAUAUAAUAUUAAAAAUAAGUGACAAAGUGCAAAAUUUUCACUAUAUCUGAGGAAAUUUGAUUCUUUAAAUAAUCCAUAGAGUAUCCGUUCAUAUAAAUGACACGUAAAGUACAAUUUACAUAAUCUACAAUGUAGAUUCUACAUCACACGCGCAUAAUGUACAUCAUUUAUAUUUUACACGUAAACGCUCUGAUGCAAUUUAUUCGUUUGCCCAACCUGGGAAAAUAAAAAAAUAUAUUCGUCUCGCGUUGUUAAACAUUCUGUACCUUUUCUCUCAAAAUUAUAUCUCAAGCAAAGAGGCUCAAACACUUCCGCAUUUAAUUUAAUUCUUCUACGUCCCAAGGUUAAAUAAAUUAACAGUCUCUUUCCCCGAGAAAAUUGCACGCAAUAUAAUUAUAACUGUGAAAUAGAUGUAAACUAUAAGCACCAUACUCCGUGCACGCGAUUACACGUAUUUUCGUCUUUCUGCAUCGAGUUAAUUUCGCGCGCGGCGCGCAAAGCCGACUUUCGGAAUUGCGCGCCUCGCAUUUAAUUAACGAGAAACGCUCGAUUGCGAAUCCAAGCUGCGCAGCGCGCUCGCGGACUUAAUGACGAUAUUAUUCGGCUUUGCUCUCGCGACGAGCGGUGUAUCGCGACGGACGAGGAGUGCAAGAUAGAGAGUGACAAAGACGGGGAGACGUGCGGCGUUGCGUGCGACCUACAUCGCUCGAAUCACCGCGCGAGUCGUUUUAUCUAUUUUUAAGUGUGGAUCUAUAUUCUUUCUCUCUAUCUCUCUCUCUCUCUCUCUCUCUCUCUCUCUCUCUCUCUCUCUCUCUCUCGACGUGUGUGCAGACCGCGAUGCGUGACGCGAGAGGAAGCGAGGCGGUUCCGCUCGGCGGAAAGCGAGGUAUUUAAAACGGAGCGUUAUUCGCGAAGAUACUCGGAACUUUAUCACGUGUUAGAGGUGUGCAAUCUGCCGAUCUUAUUAAAGGCUUUAAGGCGCGAUACGAUCGGCGCGGUUUAAGCGCGGGAACGGGGCAGCGCGUAAAAUUCCAAGGCAGCGUUGUGUGACGCGCGUGCAUGGAAUCUCCGCGUUACUAUCGCGUGUGCCGGCGGUUAAACGAAACAGAAAUAACUGUCACCACGCGAGAUAAGCGCCAGGUCGGAUGGGGUAUCGGCUGGACGCUCGAGGCGUGAGAAACGAGCGAUAUUACCUGCCGAUUCUCGGCAAGCGCGAUUGUUAACAUCGCGGGUAUGUAGCAAGAAUCGGAUUUAUAUUAGACACAGCCCGCAAAUGAAAUUAACCGGCGAAUUCGAACAUUGUGAAAUUCGAUUCGCCGUUUCAUUAAAUCGUUAAUUGCUCAAUUUAAAAAAAAAGACCAUCGGCAUUUCGAAUGUAUAAUAAUACAUUCCUCCUCGAUAUCAUUUCCCAAUUAGUCGAAGGAACGAAGAGUUAAAAAAGCGAGGGAGGGCAGCCUAUAUUUUCCACGGUCGAUCGAUAAGACCGCGAUGUAUUACACAGCCGCGAAAAUGUAAUCCUCCUAUCGGGCUGCCGCUUCGGGCUCGACGUUGCACGCGAGCGAGCGAGCGAGCGAGCGAAACGCGGUGUUUGUUUCGCGGAACGUGCGAUUGCGUCCGCGCCGGGAAAACGGACGACAACACGCGAGGGGUUUAAAAGCGCGGAAAAAAAUCACAAACGCGAUUGAACGUCGCCGCACGAGCGCGGCUGACAAAUUUUUGUUUCCCCUCUCCCCCGCCCCCCCGCGCGUAAACGCGGAACGAUCGAUAAGCGGACGCGUCGAGAGUUCGACGCCGCCGUUCGGGAACGGAGCGAAAAUCGGAUUGCGUUUCGACGUGGUACGUAUCAUCGCAUAUACGUCGCGACUCUGUCCCGGUCCGGGUGUGAGAGAGAGAGAGAGAGAGAGAGAGAGAGAGAGAGAGAGAGAGAGAGAGAGAGAGAGAGAGCCGUGAGAAAUGCUGUACGCUCUCCCGGUUCCGUGUAUUAUUGAAUACUUGGCACAGAUCGCGAUGGAGAAACGCGCCGCGCUCACUCUUCCGCGCUGUGCACUUACGUGAUCUUUGCAUGCGCCCGCCCGCAGUGACAUUUAGUUACAGGAAUGCGCGGGAGCGUCGACGCCAACACGGAAUGAUGCACCGUAAACAAUGACGCGGCGUUGAAACUCAUCUUAAUCGGCUUAUUAGUCUUCUCUGUCUCUCUCUCUCUCUCUCUCUCUUCGCUCGCCGUUUAUCAUGUCGUGUUCCUCAUAUAUGCGUUUCGCUUAAAGCUUCCCGGGGUUACCAUUAAGGCAGCGAACGCAUCGACGUUCUCUGAGAGAAGUGACGAUACGAAAAUCAAAUUAAAUCUGCUGCCUGACGGGGCUUUUCCCGCGAAACGGGACUAUUACAUUAACGUUUGGAUAAGCGUUAUCAGCACCCUUGCGAAUCUUAAACGGAAAUAAGGUCAGUAGAUAAUCAAUGAUACUGUCCGAUAAAUUUAAAUCUUUUUUUCUAGACAAAUCAGAUGAUUUUUAAUUCUUACAGAUGUUUGUCGUUGAAAACACAAGUGAAAUGGCUGUAUACAUUUUAAUUUUGUUCAUGAUGUAAAACCAAUGUAAUUAUUAUAUUAAAAUGCUGAGCGUGUUACAUUUACUAUCGAAUUGGCCCUUAAGGUAUGUCACGAGUAUUCCGUGUCCAACCAAUUUCUAACCAUAAAAGUUUUUGCAAAAUUCUAGAAAUUUUCCAUUUCUUAUUAAUUCCUUAUCAACUUUUAAAAAAAAGUUUGUAGUAAGAAAACUUUUAUGCGAUAGAACCAUCAAGGCAGUCAAUUUCUCUUUGUAAACAACUUUGAGUUUAUUUCUGAGUGACUCAUGUUUUUUCUCAACUCUCCUUUUAUUUGUGUACAGGAAAAAUUUUGUAAAAAUCCUUGUAUUUUCCUCAUAUUAUCAUUUAAAUUUUCAUUACAAGUUUAAUUAAUCUCUUUUUUAAUUAUGUUUCUCCAAAGAAAAUCGUUUAUUAAAAAAUGACUUUGUAAAGCAGAAUUACGACGUCGAAUAGUAUUAUGUGCGAAACAGGUUAACGUGGAACCUCUUGGAAAAACACUGCUUUUAUCAAAAUAUUAAAAAACAUUGUUUUUGCGAUAUUCAAUUUUUCCCAUUUAUUAAAAAUUAUUUUUAUAUGCCUAUAAAAUUAACGAAUAAUUAUAUUGCAAGGAAUUUGGCAUUCCUGUUAUUUUCCAAAGGUUUGUCAAAACUAGACAAAUCUUCAAUUAAUGUAUUUAUUAUAAAAAGUUAAAAUUUUUAAGUCAAAUAAUCAAUUCGUAAUUAGUCUUCGAUAAUUACAUCAUACAUUUUAUUUUUUUUCCAAAGUGAAGUAAUUUAUGAAAUUUAUCAAGAUUUUAAAUAGAUGAAAAACUAGCCGAUGAGAUCAAGAAGGUACCUUUAUUGUCUAUCAUACAGUACAUGUAACAGUACCGUAAAUCUUUUUCUCAAAAAUUCCGAGUAUACAUUGUUGCGCGUUGAUACCUGGAUCAAUUCUGUCAACCUGAUUUUACAUAGGGAUAAAUCCAUGGUAUACGCGCGCGACACGCGCACAGCAUCCGCCCCCGGCCCCCACCCCCCUCCCCGUGCGUCCCGGACCGGGCGACCUUGCGCUCACUCCCGCACAAAAGCGAUCCGUCUAUUGAUUACGCGCGGGAGGCGGGCACUUGCCAAUUUAUCCGUAGGCAGAAAACGCGCCAGCGCGGUGUCUCUCACCGCGUGUGUGACAAUAGAAAAGCAGGAAGCCCUCCUCUCUCUCUCUCUCUCUCUGUGUGUGUCUGUCUCUCUCUCCUGCGGAUUCCAUGCAAUCAAUGAGCUCUGGCGGUGGUGGCGCGACCAGCGCGCGGAUUAAUCCGGCUUUACGACGUAUUUUUUUCGUUCCGGCUCUCUAUUCCGCCCUCGCCCCGCGUACCCCGCGCGCGGCUCCCCCUUCGUUCCGAGCAAGCCGAUAUCCCCGGCCUCGUCGUCGUCUCUCCCAUUCUUUUUCUCUCUUCCUUUUUCCUCGGUCCUUUUUUAUCCUCUCCCUUUCCGCUUUCACGUGGGGGCCUCACCCGGCAUCAAAAUACUGCAGAGAGCGCAUUAAGAGGCAAAGUCGGUCCGCCGCGCCAAUUACAUUCGAGACGAUCGUAGUUUUCCCUUCCCGACUUCAGCGGCGGCGGCCGAAUGAAUUCCACGAGAUUUAACCGACUCAGGGCGAUCCGACAUUACUUUCACCAUUCCUUACAUGUGUCGUCGAGGGAAUAAAGAAUUAUUAUUUUAUUCGAAAAAAAAACCCGGUGUCGCUCAAAAUGACGGUCGAAAUAGUCGCUGGAAGCGACUUCAUUCUUUUUGUGUGUGUGUGUGUGUGUGUGCGUGUGUGUGCGCGCGCGCGUGGAUCUAUUAACACGAAAGAAUUUGCUAAAUGUUUCAUGUUAAUGCGAUUGCGUCGAUUAAGCGAUUGUUCGUGUUCAGGAAGGCUCGAAUAAUGAAUAUGCUAAUUGUAAUCACGGCGGCGCGCCGUGUUUUCUAGGAUACACGCACGUCCGCGCGUCAAUAAAUACGAAACUUUAUGGCGGAGGAAUGUUUUCAGGAUAUCAUAAAUUUGCCGGCAUUCAGCCGGUGACGCAAUUAUUCAAAAUAAUCGACCGUUUCGCUUCGAAGGCGGCUUCUUCUCGGUCGACUUGUGCGUCGCGGCGACAAACUUCUUAUUGCUCGGAAAUGUCGCGCGCGUCCAAAGUUUAAGAAAACUGCCACGAAGAGGAAAAAAAAAAGUAUAACUGUCGCCGCCGUCGCCGCGACGACGGUGAGAAAAAGUUUUCAACUGGGAACCAACAAGAGACCGGGUGGCAAAGUUUUGCAUAGUUAUUCCGGAUUAUUAAAUAACGUUACCCCACCUCGUAUACCCACGGUAAAUAGCGGCCACAAAUAGACCGGGCAAUAAAAAAAGCGGGUAUGACUAACUCGCGAUGUAUUUUCCUCCUUUAUGAACAACUUUACUCGGCACGUUUCAUCAUUACGUUAAUGCCGAUGGAAACUUUAUAUUAAGCGAGAGGGGGGAGAGGGAAACGCAUAAGCUCGUUGCGUCGCGAUGCAUUUGAAAUAUUUGUCGAGAUUGACAGCGGUGACGCGGGAAUCCGGAGCGGCGGCGGCGGCGCGAACGCUCCGAGCUCUCGUUAAAAGCGCUGCGCGAAACUUUUAUCGCGCGUUAAAUAACGAUCGGGAAGCUUUGUGUUAAUUAGCCGGGCGCGUAUUUUACAACUUUGCGGGAAGCACGACGUAGCGCGAGCGGAGGAUAAAAUUUAUCGCGAUGCGAUACAAGGUGCAAUCUUCCCCUGACGUUUUCGCCGCGCGCGAGCGCGAUGGUCGAAAAAUGCUGGAGGAGAAAGGCGGAGAUGUACUACUCCACGGCAAUUGAGUACUAAAUUGAACUCUACCUGGAAGUAAAAGAAAUCGAGGUGCAGUCGCCUCGUUUCGACUUUCACAUUGGGCAAUUCGAUUACGAGUUAUGAAAGCGAUUUGCACGGCGCGAUUCACCACACGUGCGUUCAACACCCACUUCUGUGUGUGUGUGUGUGUAUGUGUAAAAUAAAUUCGCGCCGCACCGUCGCGUGAGACUUUAAUUUUCGAGCAAAUAAAUUCGCGCGCGACCAUCACGUCGUAUACGGAAAACAACGUUGUCGUGUCAUACAAAUUCCAAAGCACAGUCAUACGUCUUAGGUAACGCAAACUUCUUGAUUUAGCGGUCUUUGCCAAGGUUACUUGCCUUACCUUUCCUUCAAAGGGAUUUCUCAGCACUUUGAAUACGUUUAUUUUACGUAGUAAAUUUACUUCUAAAAACUUACAUCUCUAACCUUUGACUUCGGCUACAUAUAGAUGUUCUAAGAUAAAGAUACUUCUAUUCCGAAAAGACAAACGAUAUAAGUUGUUAUCUGUAACGCGUAAAUCAAUAACAGCGUGGAAAAAGAAACAAAUUUAUGGUUAAAUAUUCCUAUUGAGGCAUAAAUAGCUUUCCACGUCGCAUUAUCAUAUUGUGACUCAUAUUAUCGUCGUACAUAAGAUAAUUUUCUAAAAUUAUAAAUGCGAUACUUGAAACGGCACGUAAUAUCAUUAGUAUUUCGAUAAAACGUACAACAUUAGUCCAACUCAUUAUGCAAUAUUAAAAACCUGAUGUUUACAAAAAACUUUGAACAAAAUAGAUAUAUAUUCAAAAAACCAUCAAAACAUGUUAAUUUUCUAUUAUUACACUUAUUGUUGCAAAUUGCGAGAUAUUAAUAAUGAAUAUUCGCAUUAUUUCUUUAUGAAAAAAUUAUACACGCGAUAAUUGUUUGCCGCGAUACGACUCUGGCAUUAUAUUUUCCUCCUCUUGCGAGCAUCUCGAAUAACACUCAUUUCUAAUUUGUGUUUCAAAUAGAGGAUGAUUUGUAAAUUGCGUGAAUUACGAAUACAAAAAAAAAACCAGAAUUAAACGAAUAUAGAGGAAACACAAAUGAAAUAAUGUGAAAAUGUACGAGCACCGCGCGCUCGUAUAGAUGCUCGAUACGGAUUUGCGUCAGUAGUCAAUUUUCGACGACGCGAUAAUUACGUUUCCCAUUUCGUGCCACUGUUCGCUCCACUUUUCACGCUGCGCUGACGCAAAAGUGCUUCUUUUCCAAGAAAACAAAUUAAAAAGAUUGGCAUCGGCGGGCAGCGCUGGCCCAAGUUAAUCGUAGAAGUAGGAAGCGAGCACAGAAUACGCCGUGCCUUAUCGCGCGAUAAGCGCACUCCAGACGCGCGCGCGCGCGCUUUUAUAUCCCGUAAGGUUCAUAAAUUAAACGUAGCCAGUUAACAUCGAAGAAACAAGAACGAGGAGUGGCUGCCAUGUUGGCAUAGGGGUCGGCGAGGAAUAAAUUUAAACACGUCUGUCUAGCACCUAAAUGCGUCUCGCGAAUUAUCGCUCGAUUUGCGGGGACGUCGUUAUUAUUAUUAUUAUUGCGCUACUCGCCGCAUUCGGAGAAGAGGAGAAGACGAUAGAGACCGAGUGGAGGGGGGAGAGGGCACUUUUUCCCGCCGCGUGCGAACGCGAUUUUUUUUUUUAAUCAUAAACGUACGAUAUUAAGAGCGGAAUGACGAUAAAUUUUUAUCGAGGGGAGAGGGGCUCGGCGUGAAAAGGUUCAACUUUAACGUGUUUCGUCGCCGGGCGAGCCUUAAAAUUAAACGCGCCUUCAUCCCGACUUCGCCUCUCACGAGCUCUCACGAGCGGACCGUGAAAGUUUUAUGAAUCCGGCGGAAUGGCUCUGCAAAUAGUUCGAAUGUAAAGGAUCGCGCGCGAGCGUCCUUCGUUAUAUCAAGCAUCGUUUAAAAUUAAUUCCGCGGAAAUCCGCGUCGCGCACGUUAAGAGCGAUGAUAAUCCGCGAUACGUAUUAUAUUCGCGGUCGGAGAAUAUUAAUUUCCGGGAUCGGCGGGGUUGAAUUAAUCCCUGUUGCGCAUCCGAGAGAGGGUGGGGGAGGGGGAAAGGGCAGCGGGGGAGAAUAGAGAUAGUUAAAUCGAUACAACAUUACGGGAGCAAUAAUGGGUUUCUAUCGUUUGCUGCCGCGUCGGAAUUUAGUACGACGAACAAGGAGCGAUCGGCGGCGGUCGGGGCUGUUGCGAGCCAGGCCACUUGCUCGCUCAUUCAAUGCGCUUACGUGGGUGGCUCGUUAUCAGCGCAAAUUACCUUUGCUCCUACGCGCUUAAUUUAGUUCCGAGCGUGCAAUAAUAAUGCUCGCAUGACGCGCGAAAUUGCUGUGGAUCGAUGAUAGCGACGAUUCGAGAUCAAAUCGGUGGGUUUCUGCCGGCGUGGCAGCGGCAGGAUCGCGAUAGGACGUUCAAUAGCGAUAUUGUCCUGCCCUUGUGUGCUCGGCAAACUCGGCAAUAAUGUAACGGAGAUCCAUUGUAAAACAGUCCAGCGACGGUUGCACCGUCGUCUUCCUAACCCCCGCCCCUCCUCGAGUGCUCAUAAAAAUUAGUUAGCGUUAUAAUUGCAGAACGAGAUACCCAACUUCGAUAAUCUGGAGUAACUUUUACAACUUUUAUUCUCUCCUCUGAUUAAAAUUCUUAAAUGCUCGUUGAACGCGAGUUUGAAUAGCGAAUACGAUAUCGGUAAUAAAAUAUCGUUAGCAUGAAGCCGUGCAACAUUCGUGCAGUAGUUUUUCUAAAUAAAAAAAAAAAAAAAUUGCAGACUACUUCAGUAUACCACUUUCAGAUGUUCUUCAUAUAAUUCACGUUUCUCCUUUAUUAUAUCAACGCUAUCACGAUAUCACGUAGAAAAGUCUUGAAAUCAUUUCCAUCAUACGAGCAUGAGCAAUUAAACACGCAGUGGCGUAUAAAAAAAGAGUUCAACGGAGUAAUAAUACCGCAUGGAAAAUAUUGUCACGGGUAAUCGCGAGCAAACACAGAUUUUUCAAAUGUUUAACGAAGGCUUAUCGCGACAGCGUGUACAGAGAGAGAGAGUGUGUGUAUGUGUGUGUAUAUGUGUGUGUCUUUGUUUAAUCGCUACGCGAAAAACGCUACGCGGUACAUAUACUUCGAACACGGACCAGGUGCGUAUUCCUGAUGGUAUCGGCUCGGAAACACGCCACGCGGCGCCGUACUGCGUACAAUCAGCACCGUAAUAAAUUACGUUCCGCGUAUGUUCCUCGCGUAGAUCCUCAACGACAGGAAACCAAAAAGAGAUAUAAGGCGCGUCUGAAAAAGAUGUCCGUCGACACGUACGUGGGAAAGACUAUCGUUGUCGACGUUAAGGAAGGGAAAAGGGGAAGAACCGAAAGAAUGAAACGAAGAUAGGUCCUUCGGUACUCCGUAAAUACAUUGAUCUGCAUUCGGCAUAAAAUACCUUUGAUUUCGAUUAAAACACAAUCGCAAAUUUAUGCAAUUUAAUUACAUUUGCGAAAUACAAAUAGGAAAUGCCAAAAUCACAUCGAAUCGUACGGGCGGGAGCGAUAAGUUUAUUAAUUAAUCAAGAUGUAUAAAUAUAGCUCUUAAUUAACACCGAACGGGAUGAUACUAUUGAUUCAAUUUUGAUUAAAAAAGAAAAAAAAGAGAGAGUAUCGGUAUCAUUAAAUUUGCAGCGAUUGCGCUGAUAAUUGAGGAGAAAUAAUUUACGAAUGAAUAAAUUACGGCCUCGCGGCGGACGCGCGCGUUCACCGACUGUCGAUUUGUACCAGAGUUUUGGAACAAGUGAAAACUAUAAUUAGCCCAUUACCCAAUACUGAAUACGUUGAAAAUGAUCCAAGGCUUCGACAAAAAUAUCGUGCCGGUCGCCGACUGAGCUCUAUUCGAAGCGGACGAGUCCCGCGAUUGACGCUCACGCGGGAUUUAUAAACUUCGAGGAUUCUCUUACCGCGGGGGGGGGGGA